Molecule: ribosomal RNA, 253 nt
Filed under: uncultured bacterium
Lineage: Bacteria
Description: partial 16S ribosomal RNA
Rfam family: Bacterial small subunit ribosomal RNA
Source: RNAcentral
UACGAAGGGGGCUAGCGUUGUUCGGAAUCACUGGGCGUAAAGCGCGCGUAGGUGGUUUGUUAAGUUGGAUGUGAAAGCCCCGGGCUCAACCUGGGAACUGCAUUCAAAACUGACAAGCUAGAGUAUGGUAGAGGGUGGUGGAAUUUCCUGUGUAGCGGUGAAAUGCGUAGAUAUAGGAAGGAACACCAGUGGCGAAGGCGACCACCUGGACUGAUACUGACACUGAGGUGCGAAAGCGUGGGGAGCAAACAGG